This 253-nucleotide ribosomal RNA is filed under the name uncultured bacterium. Its description in RNAcentral is "partial 16S ribosomal RNA". It matches the Rfam family "Bacterial small subunit ribosomal RNA", at positions 524 to 776 of the family's 1533-position model. The record is from RNAcentral. RNAcentral also lists the same sequence under 1 other name.
UACGUAGGAUGCAAGCGUUGUCCGGAAUUAUUGGGCGUAAAGAGCGAGCAGGCGGCAUAUCAAGUUGGACGUGAAAUUUUAGGGCUUAACCCUAAAGGGUCGUCCAAAACUGGUAAGCUAGAGUGCAGGAGAGGAAAGCGGAAUUCCCGGUGUAGUGGUGAAAUGCGUAGAUAUCGGGAGGAACACCAGAGGCGAAGGCGGCUUUCUGGCCUGUAACUGACGCUGAGGCGCGAAGGCUGGGGUAGCGAACAGG